CCUACGGGUGGCAGCAGUGGGGAAUAUUGGUCAAUGGGCGCAAGCCUGACCCAGCAACGCCGCGUGAAGGAAGAAGGCUUUCGGGUUGUAAACUUCUUUUGACAGGGAAGAGUAGAAGACGGUACCUGCCGAAUAAGCCACGGCUAACAACGUGCCAGCAGCCGCGGUAAUACGGAGGUGGCAGGCGUUGUGCGGAUUUAGUGGGUGUAAAGGGCGUGUAGCCGGGUUGUCAAGUCAGAUUUGAAAUCCUGCGGCUUAACCGCAGAACUGCAUUUGAAACUGUUGAUCUUGAGUACUGGAGAGGCAGGCGGAAUGUGUGGUGUAGCGGUGAAAUGCGUAGAUAUUAGGCGGAACACCGGUGGCGAAGGCAGUCUGCUAGACCGCGACUGACGGUGAGGCGCGAAAGCGUGGGGAGCAAACAGGAUUAGAUACCCCUGUAGUC
RNAcentral lists this ribosomal RNA (442 nucleotides) under uncultured bacterium. Its description in RNAcentral is "partial 16S ribosomal RNA". It matches the Rfam family "Bacterial small subunit ribosomal RNA", at positions 338 to 795 of the family's 1533-position model. The record is from RNAcentral.